This 200-nucleotide unclassified non-coding RNA is filed under the name soil metagenome. RNAcentral's name for it is "partial contains internal transcribed spacer 2 and large subunit ribosomal RNA". The record is from RNAcentral.
AAGCACUGCUUGGUAUUGGGCGUCCGGCCCCGCGAGAGCGGCGGCCGCGCCCCAAACCCUUCGGCGGAGCCACUCGGUCUCUGGGCGUAGUAGAAUUACUUCAAUAACGUCCUGGGAGCCCUUGGGGUCUCCCGCCGUCAAACCACCAAAUAUUUUUUCAGGUUGACCUCGGAUCAGGUAGGGAUACCCGCUGAACUUAA